UGACACCAGACACUACAACUCAACGGUUUAUCUGCGUCAGAGGAGAACCUACAACACACGUUGUCACUUUGGGGAGAUCUCCAGCACACACACACACACACGCACGCACACACACACACACACACACACACACACACACACACACACACGGGGGGGGGGGAUCAGAUGGCGUCUCCUGCUCUGGCUGAUGUAGCGUUAGAAGGAGGCCGAGUGGAGCUGUAAAAAGCAGAGACUUGAUCUGGAGUCUGACAGGUGUUCUCCGUCAGAGCGCUAGGCCUCGUCGCACACGGCCGGCGAGUCGUGUAAAGACCGCGUGCGUCACUUCCUCACGUGGUUGUCAUUCCACUCCGUCAGCCUGGAUCAACAAUAAACAUGAAGCUCUGCUCUGAGCUUCUGUCAACACAAGCCUUUUCCCAUCAUUCCUCGCUGGACUCCCUGGCACCAGAGUCUGGCGCUGGAGGAAGAUCUACAUCCAAGAUAUGGAGCCGGAUAAAACCCCACCCAGGAGAUCAUGCAUCAGAGCAGCCACAGCUGGCAGUCCGCUGCACUGUUGUUUACAUGUGGAACAUGACAUGAUACAAGUUAGUCGGAGAGUCUGGAGGAGCAAAAUCAGCCACUAAUGAUCAUGUUUCUGUUCAGACUGACACAAGUAGACUUCAUGAGGGUGAAAUGAUGGCCCAACAUGUCCAGGAGCACCCUGUGGAGAACGUUCUACUGCCUGCUACAUCACCC
Molecule: long non-coding RNA, 732 nt
Filed under: Gouania willdenowi (blunt-snouted clingfish)
Lineage: Eukaryota; Metazoa; Chordata; Actinopteri; Blenniiformes; Gobiesocidae
Description: lncRNA (ENSGWIG00000011978.1)
Source: RNAcentral